Molecule: unclassified non-coding RNA, 328 nt
Filed under: uncultured fungus
Lineage: Eukaryota; Fungi
Description: partial internal transcribed spacer 1
Source: RNAcentral
CUAAUGAAGUUUACUUCACUCCACCAGUAAUAAUUUAUAAAGCGGUUGAUUCUCUUCAACCAAAUCGGCAAGCGUGUAGUUAUCCAGCUCCUUGAGAAAACUCUGCACGGCCUUAGAAAGCGCCUGUUUCAGACGACAGGCAGGGGUGAUGUGGCAAAAUUCGCUGCUACAGUUGACCAGUGAUAAGGGUUCCAGCUCACGCACCACAUCGCCAAUACAAAUAGUAUUAGCCGGUUUACCCAGGCGGAUACCGCCAUUUUUUCCCCGAACGGCGGUGACAAAGCCCGCCCGGCUAAGCUGAUUGAUAAUUUUGACCAUAUGAUUACGG